Odocoileus virginianus texanus is the source of this 433-nucleotide long non-coding RNA. RefSeq lists it as uncharacterized. The record is from RefSeq and is a predicted model, not a curated record. Lineage: Eukaryota; Metazoa; Chordata; Mammalia; Artiodactyla; Cervidae.
GCCGGAGCACCAGAGAAGUCCCCAGCUUCACAUACUUAACGGAUCCUAGCUUCCCAGCAAGGGCUCGGACCCAUACCCCUGCAUUGGAAGUACAGAAUCUUAACCACUGGAUUGACAGGGAAGCACCUACGUGGGGAAACCAGAGGACAUUGAAGGAAUCCUUGUAAAGAGAGGCCACGAGGAGAAAUAGAGGCUUUGGAGUAGAAGAGUCUAUGAGGAGGCAGGAAGGAAAUGAGAGACAGAGAGAGCCAGAGAGUGAGACCUAGCCAGACCCCAGUCAUUUCAAGCAACCAGCUUAGAAACCAAACAUCUGAGGGGGGCUAUCACAGAUUCUGCAACCAACACCACAUGAUGCAGAAAUGAACUUUCCCUUCUGAGUGCUAUCUGAAUUCCUGAACAACAGAAUUGUGAGGAUUAAAUAGUUGUGUGUGUG